This 755-nucleotide ribosomal RNA is filed under the name Rahnella aquatilis. RNAcentral's name for it is "partial 16S ribosomal RNA". It matches the Rfam family "Bacterial small subunit ribosomal RNA", at positions 47 to 1072 of the family's 1533-position model. The record is from RNAcentral. Lineage: Bacteria; Pseudomonadati; Pseudomonadota; Gammaproteobacteria; Enterobacterales; Yersiniaceae.
GNNGCCAAANUNCCUNNNAUGGCCAGGACCCCAUUNGCCCNNCNGUUGUGUNNAAAGAAAGGNCCCNUUUAGGGGGUUUUNAAAAGGCAUCUUUUUCAGNCGAAGGNAGGGAAAGGGUUUCAGGUNGUUUAAUAGCGCCUGAGCAUUNGACGUUACUUCGCAGAAGAAGCCCCGGGCUAACUUCCNGUGCCAGCAGCCGCGGUAAUACGGAGGGUGCAAGCGUUNAUCGGAAUUACUGGGCGUAAAGGNGCACGCAGGCGGUUUGUUAAGUCAGAUGUGAAAUCCCCGAGCUUAACUUGGGAACUGCAUUUGAAACUGGCAAGCUAGAGUCUUGUAGAGGGGGGUAGAAUUCCAGGUGUAGCGGUGAAAUGCGUAGAGAUCUGGAGGAAUACCGGUGGCGAAGGCGGCCCCCUGGACAAAGACUGACGCUCAGGUGCGAAAGCGUGGGGAGCAAACAGGAUUAGAUACCCUGGUAGUCCACGCUGUAAACGAUGUCGACUUGGAGGUUGUGCCCUUGAGGCGUGGCUUCCGGAGCUAACGCGUUAAGUCGACCGCCUGGGGAGUACGGCCGCAAGGUUAAAACUCAAAUGAAUUGACGGGGGCCCGCACAAGCGGUGGAGCAUGUGGUUUAAUUCGAUGCAACGCGAAGAACCUUACCUACUCUUGACAUCCAGAGAAUUCGCUAGAGAUAGCUUAGUGCCUUCGGGAACUCUGAGACAGGUGCUGCAUGGCUGUCGUCNGCUCGUGNUUGNAAU